UCCGGUAACGAAAGUAAGAGGGAAACACCUGUAACCAUACCGAACACAGAAGUUAAGGCUCAAUACGCUGAUGGUACUUGGCUGGCGACGGCCCGGGAGAGUAGGUAUUGCCGGUU
Molecule: ribosomal RNA, 116 nt
Organism: Peptoniphilus sp. oral taxon 386
Lineage: Bacteria; Bacillati; Bacillota; Tissierellia; Tissierellales; Peptoniphilaceae
Source: Rfam